Molecule: ribosomal RNA, 455 nt
Filed under: uncultured bacterium
Lineage: Bacteria
Description: bacterial SSU rRNA
Rfam family: Bacterial small subunit ribosomal RNA
Source: RNAcentral
UACGGGAGGCAGCAGUGGGGAAUAUUGCACAAUGGGCGCAAGCCUGAUGCAGCCAUGCCGCGUGUAUGAAGAAGGCCUUCGGGUUGUAAAGUACUUUCAGUCGUGAGGAAGGUGUUAAGGUUAAUAACCUUAGCAAUUGACGUUAGCGACAGAAGAAGCACCGGCUAACUCCGUGCCAGCAGCCGCGGUAAUACGGAGGGUGCGAGCGUUAAUCGGAAUUACUGGGCGUAAAGGGCACGCAGGCGGUUAAUUAAGUUGGAUGUGAAAUCCCCGGGCUUAACCUGGGAAUGGCAUUCAAGACUGGUUAGCUAGAGUCUUGUAGAGGGGGUAGAAUUCCAUGUGUAGCGGUGAAAUGCGUAGAGAUGUGGAGGAAUACCGGGUGGCGAAGGCGGCCCCUGGACAAAGACUGACGCUCAUGUGCGAAAGCGUGGGGAGCGAAAACAGGAUUAGAUACC